This 253-nucleotide ribosomal RNA is filed under the name uncultured bacterium. RNAcentral describes it as "partial 16S ribosomal RNA". It matches the Rfam family "Bacterial small subunit ribosomal RNA", at positions 524 to 776 of the family's 1533-position model. The record is from RNAcentral.
UACGUAGGAGACAAACGUUAUCCGGAGUUACUGGGCGUAAAGGGCGUGUAGGCGGUCUGUUAAGUCUGGCGUGAAAGCUCUCGGCUAAACCGGGAGAGGUCGUUGGAUACUGGCAGACUAGAGGACGGUAGAGGCGUGUGGAAUUCCGGGUGUAGCGGUGAAAUGCGUAGAGAUCCGGAGGAACACCAGUGGCGAAGGCGACACGCUGGGCCGUACCUGACGCUAAAGCGCGACAGCAUGGGGAGCAAACGGG